UUGUAUAGGAUGUGAAACAAACAACGAUUGUGGAACAGGGGAAUAUUGUUACAAAGAUGACUGGAAAUGCCGCUAUAUAGUAUGUGAAAAAAACGAAGAUUGUAAACAUGGGGAAUUUUGUGACCUAUCUUCGCGGGAGUGCCAUGUUGUUGGAGAUUAGUGACGCCGAUGGUCAUAAGUCAUUCAAGAGUCAAGUUCUGCAAAGAGAAAGAUCAACGCAAACAGAGAAAAUAAAUUUUAUUUUGCUGAAUAUGGAAUAAAAAAAUAUUCUACAAUAA
This is a non-coding RNA of Styela clava, 278 nucleotides long. The record is from RefSeq and is a predicted model, not a curated record. Lineage: Eukaryota; Metazoa; Chordata; Ascidiacea; Stolidobranchia; Styelidae.